GACGGGCUUCCCUCCUGGCUCUAGUUGGAGCUGCCUGCCGGUUCGAUUCCUGGGUUGGGAAGAUCCCCUGGAGAAGGGAAAGGCUACCCACUCCAGUGUUUUUGGGCUUCCCUUGUGGCUCAGCUGAUGGGGAAUGGACACAGAGAGGUUAAACCACUCAGCCUACGUUACACGGCCUGUUGUGAAUUGGGGCCGGGGCUCAGACCUGCCACACUGACUCUGAUAACACCCUGCGUGGACCAGAUGGUGUAGGACAUCUCCCUGCAUAGACUACGGGGCCGCCCCAGCAGCAGCCUGGCUUGUCCUCUGGUGGGAAG
Molecule: long non-coding RNA, 317 nt
Organism: Bos taurus (domestic cattle)
Lineage: Eukaryota; Metazoa; Chordata; Mammalia; Artiodactyla; Bovidae
Source: Ensembl